GUCGGGAAUAUUGCGCAAUGGAGGAAACUCUGACGCAGUGACGCCGCGUAUAGGAAGAAGGUUUUCGGAUUGUAAACUAUUGUCGUUAGGGAAGAUAAAAGACAGUACCUAAGGAGGAAGCUCCGGCUAACUACGUGCCAGCAGCCGCGGUAAUACGUAGGGAGCAAGCGUUAUCCGGAUUUAUUGGGUGUAAAGGGUGCGUAGACGGGAAAUUAAGUUAGUUGUGAAAUCCCUCGGCUCAACUGAGGAACUGCAACUAAAACUGAUUUUCUUGAGUGUUGGAGAGGAAAGUGGAAUUCCUAGUGUAGCGGUGAAAUGCGUAGAUAUUAGGAGGAACACCAGUGGCGAAGGCGACUUUCUAGACAAUAACUGACGUUGAGGCACGAAAGUGUGGGGAGCAAACAGGAUUAGAAACCCUAGUAGUCC
Molecule: ribosomal RNA, 426 nt
Filed under: uncultured bacterium
Lineage: Bacteria
Description: bacterial SSU rRNA
Rfam family: Bacterial small subunit ribosomal RNA
Source: RNAcentral